Molecule: ribosomal RNA, 512 nt
Filed under: uncultured bacterium
Lineage: Bacteria
Description: partial 16S ribosomal RNA
Rfam family: Bacterial small subunit ribosomal RNA
Source: RNAcentral
GACGAACGCUGGCGGCGUGCCUAAUACAUGCAAGUCGAACGAAACUUCUUUAUCACCGAGUGCUUGCACUCACCGAUAAAGAGUUGAGUGGCGAACGGGUGAGUAACACGUGGGCAGCCUGCCCAAAAGAGGGGGAUAACACUUGGAAACAGGUGCUAAUACCGCAUAACCAUAGUUACCGCAUGGUAACUAUGUAAAAGGUGGCUAUACUACCGCUUUUGGAUGGGCCCGCGGCGCAUUAGCUAGUUGGUAGGGUAAAGGCUUACCAAGGCAAUGAUGCGUAGCCGAAUUGAGAGGUUGGUCGGCCACAUUGGGACUGAGACACGGCCCAAACUCCUACGGGAGGCAGCAGUAGGGAAUCUUCCACAAUGGGCGAAAGCCUGAUGGAGCAACGCCGCGUGGGUGAAGAAGGUCUUCGGAUCGUAAAACCCUGUUGUUAGAGAAGAAAGUGCGUGAGAGUAACUGUUCACGUUUCGACGGUAUCUAACCAGAAAGCCACGGCUAACUACGUG